This 253-nucleotide ribosomal RNA is filed under the name uncultured bacterium. Its description in RNAcentral is "partial 16S ribosomal RNA". It matches the Rfam family "Bacterial small subunit ribosomal RNA", at positions 524 to 776 of the family's 1533-position model. The record is from RNAcentral.
UACGUAGGGUGCGAGCGUUAAUCGGAAUUACUGGGCGUAAAGCGUGCGCAGGCGGUUUUGUAAGCCAGAUGUGAAAUCCCCGGGCUUAACCUGGGAAUGGCAUUUGGGACUGCAAGGCUCGAGUGCGGCAGAGGAGACUGGAAUUCCUGGUGUAGCGGUGAAAUGCGCAGAUAUCAGGAGGAACACCGGUGGCGAAGGCGGGUCUCUGGGCCGUAACUGACGCUGAGGAGCGAAAGCAUGGGGAGCGAACAGG